Dermacentor albipictus is the source of this 187-nucleotide small nuclear RNA. RefSeq annotates it as U2 spliceosomal RNA. The record is from RefSeq and is a predicted model, not a curated record. NCBI's taxonomy places the organism in Eukaryota, Metazoa, Arthropoda, Arachnida, Ixodida, Ixodidae.
ACGUCUACAUGGCCAACGCAGGUAAAAAUGUCGUAUCUGUUCUGUACAGCUUAAUAUCUGAUACGGGUUGUAUUUGGACGGAAGAUAUUAAACUAAUUUUUGCAACAUGGCGGAGAGUUUAAAGCCUGCUUCGCCUCCGCCGCGGUCCGCCCGGUAUGCGCUAUAUUCGGAAUUGGUGCCAAGAUGA